UGAGUACGAGAUGCUACGGCAUCGAAGCAGUCUAUGUCAUACUUCCAAGAAAAGCUUGCACUGUCAUAAACAAAGAAUGCCUGUACCAUAACCGACACAGGUGGGUAGGUAGAGUAUACUAAGGGGCGCGAGAUAACUCUCUCUAAGGAACUCGGCAAAAUGACUCCGUAACUUCGGGAGAAGGAGUGCCUUAUUUCUAAGGUUGCAAUAACAAGAUCCAAGCAACUGUUUACCAAAAACACAGGUCUCCGCUAAGUCGUAAGACGAUGUAUGGGGGCUGACGCCUGCCCAGUGCCAGAAGGUUAAAGAAGUUGGUUAGCAUUAGCGAAGCUGAUAACUGAAGCCCUGGUGAACGGCGGCCGUAACAAUAACGGUCCUAAGGUAGCGAAAUUCCUUGUCGGGUAAGUUCCGACCCGCACGAAAGGCGUAAUGAUUUGGAUACUGUCUCGGAGAGGGGCUCGGUGAAAUAGACUUGUCUGUGAAGAUGCGGACUACCUGCACCUGGACAGAAAGACCCUAUGAAGCUUUACUGUAACUUGAGAUUGAAAUUGGACUUUAUUUGCGCAGUAUAGGUGGGAGGCGUUGAGAAUAAUCUUGCGGGAUUGUUGGAGCCAUCAGUGAGAUACCACUCUUGUAAUGUUAGAUUUCUAACUUUGUAUCAUUAUCUGGUCAAAGAACAGUUUCAGGCGGGCAGUUUGACUGGGGCGGUCGCCUCCCAAAGGGUAACGGAGGCGCACAAAGGUUUCCUCUGAACGGGUAGAAAUCGUAUCUAGAGUGUAAAGGCAUAAGGAAGCUUGACUGUGAGACCUACAAGUCGAGCAGGGACGAAAGUCGGUCUUAGUGAUCUGACGGUGCUGAGUGGAAAGGCCGUCACUCAACGGAUAAAAGUUACUCUAGGAUAACAGGCUGAUCUCCCCCAAGAGUUCACAUCGACGGGGAGGUUUGGCACCUCGAUGUCGGCUCAUCGCAUCCUGGGGCGGUAGUCCGUCCCAAGGGUUGGGCUGUUCGCCAAUGAAAGCGGUACGCGAGCUGGGUUCAGAACGUCGUGAGACAGUUCGGUCCAUAUCCGGUGUAGGCGUUAGAAUAUUGAGAGGAGCCUUCUCUAGUACGAGAGGACCGAGAAGGACAUACCUCUGGUGUACCAGUUAUCGUGCCAACGGUAAACGCUGGGUAGCUAUGUAUGGAGUGGAUAACCGCUGAAAGCAUCUAAGUGGGAAGCCCACCUCAAGAUAAG
This 1234-nucleotide ribosomal RNA is filed under the name metagenome. RNAcentral describes it as "bacterial LSU rRNA". It matches the Rfam family "Bacterial large subunit ribosomal RNA", at positions 1564 to 2808 of the family's 2925-position model. The record is from RNAcentral.